RNAcentral lists this unclassified non-coding RNA (286 nucleotides) under Hevea brasiliensis (rubber tree). Lineage: Eukaryota; Viridiplantae; Streptophyta; Magnoliopsida; Malpighiales; Euphorbiaceae. The record is from RNAcentral.
GCAGCGGCUAUAAUUCCUUCAUCAGCCUCAAUACCCGGGAGGGGCUUGGUGUUGGUAGUGACCGUGACGAUGCUCCCACCGGCGCUCGUCGGCUCAACCUUGAAGUGGGCGGAGGCAGACUCCAGCCUCGUCCCCAAGUGUCCGCCUUCGAUGAUGGUGGACUGGCAUUCAAACUUCUCGUGGUCGACAAAGUCCAAGCGUUCCUUCACGUAACUGAAUGGCAUCACUGAGGUGAAGUUGAGUUGCCUGACGCUCCCGGCGCCACCAUCACCACUUUCUCCGGUGC